AACGGGAUUUAGUAGACAGAAGCUUCGGUGGAAGAUUACUAAUGAGAGUGGCGAACGGGUGAGUAACGCGUGAGCAACCUGCCUAUGACAGUGGGAUAGCCUCGGGAAACCGGGAUUAAUACCGCAUAAAAUCGUAGAAACACAUGUUUUAGCGGUCAAAGAUUUAUCGGUCAUAGAUGGGCUCGCGUCUGAUUAGCUAGUUGGUGAGAUAACAGCCCACCAAGGCGACGAUCAGUAGCCGGUCUGAGAGGAUGAACGGCCACAUUGGAACUGAGACACGGUCCAAACUCCUACGGGAGGCAGCAGUGGGGAAUAUUGCACAAUGGGGGAAACCCUGAUGCAGCGACGCCGCGUGAACGAAGAAGGUAUUCGUAUCGUAAAGUUCUGUCCUAUGGGAAGAUAAUGACAGUACCAUAGAAGAAAGCUCCGGCUAAAUACGUGCCAGCAGCCGCGGUAAUACGUAUGGAGCGAGCGUUGUCCGGAAUUAUUGGGCGUAAAGGGUACGCAGGCGGUUUAAUAAGUCGAAUGUUAAAGAUCGGGGCUCAACCCCGUAAAGCAUUGGAAACUGAUAAACUUGAGUAGUGGAGAGGAAAGUGGAAUUCCUAGUGUAGUGGUGAAAUACGUAGAUAUUAGGAGGAAUACCAGUAGCGAAGGCGACUUUCUGGACACAAACUGACGCUGAGGUACGAAAGCGUGGGGAGCAAACAGGAUUAG
RNAcentral lists this ribosomal RNA (714 nucleotides) under uncultured Eubacteriales bacterium. RNAcentral describes it as "bacterial SSU rRNA". It matches the Rfam family "Bacterial small subunit ribosomal RNA", at positions 65 to 781 of the family's 1533-position model. Lineage: Bacteria; Bacillati; Bacillota; Clostridia; Eubacteriales. The record is from RNAcentral.